RNAcentral lists this ribosomal RNA (671 nucleotides) under Puto yuccae. RNAcentral's name for it is "bacterial SSU rRNA". It matches the Rfam family "Eukaryotic small subunit ribosomal RNA", at positions 24 to 559 of the family's 1831-position model. Lineage: Eukaryota; Metazoa; Arthropoda; Insecta; Hemiptera; Pseudococcidae. The record is from RNAcentral.
UCAUAUGCUUGUCUCAAAGAUUAAGCCAUGCAUGUCUAAGUGCAAACCGCUUGUACGGUGAAACCGCGAAAGGCUCAUUAAAUCAGUUAUGGUUCCUUAGAUCGUACCCUGUUACUUGGAUAACUGUGGUAAUUCUAGAGCUAAUACAUGCCGAUAGAGUUCCGACCUCGUGCCGCGUGUAGUGCCUUCGCUUUCGGGCGUUUGGUGCAGCCGGCGUCGUGGAAAGAACGCUUUUAUUAGAUCAAAACCGGCCGGACGCGCGUCUUCGGUGCGUGUAGCGCUUCGCCUUCGGGCGUUCGCUCGCGGUCAACGCUGAUUUCGCACGCGUAAGUGGUCCGCGCAAAGACUUGGUGAUUCUGAAUAACUUUUGGCUGAUCGCACGGUCUUCGUACCGGCGACGCAUCUUUCAAAUGUCUGCCUUAUCAACUGUCGACGGUAGGUUCGACGCCUACCGUGGUAGUAACGGGUAACGGGGAAUCAGGGUUCGAUUCCGGAGAGGGAGCCUGAGAAACGGCUACCACAUCCAAGGAAGGCAGCAGGCGCGCAAAUUACCCACUCCCAGCGCGGGGAGGUAGUGACGAAAAAUAACGAUACGGGACUCAUCCGAGGCCCCGUAAUCGGAAUGAGUACACUUUAAAACCUUGGUUAACGAGGAUCAAUUGGAGGGCAAG